GUUUUUAAAGGUUUAAAAUGGGUAAUUAUGUGAUGGAUUGAAAUGUGUUCAUUAUUUGUCAGAGGUAUAUUUAAUCAUUCUGCUUUUAUUUGUGUACAGUAUAGCAAGCAUUACAGACUUGAAUGUCACUGUUUACAUUACAAUGUGUUUCUCAACUGUUCAGGGCAAUUACAGGUUAAUGUCUAAACAGAUUUAGUAGCUGUAAUAAUCAAAUGCAACCAGCAGGGGCAGUCAAGCACUAGUGAGCCAUAGUAAAGAGCACCAGAACUUCCUCCUCAGUCAAUACAAGCUGGAGUAGAGGAAAGAAAGUGUCUGUGGCUCAUUUAUUCAAUUAUUCCCCUUUUCAGGGCUUUUACAUUUGGAGGCACCGCUGGGAUUGCUGAUUUUGAGGCUGGAAUCCUACAUCUGAGGAGAACACCCCACAUCAACAAUCCCAUAUCAUAACCCAGGGGGGGCGGACGGGCCGAGGGACAGUCUGUCCAAAAUGGCACCACCCUCCCAUAAAAAGAUGAGUAGAAAAAAAAAGCCUUUUGUUCUCUGUGACAAUGUUUUUCUGUCAUUUUAGGCCUCACAUGUGGAAAAGCCUUUAAUUUUGAAUUUUGGGUUUAUUUACGUUAUUUAACAAAGGCUAUAUUAGUUUGUUUUUGAUUACCAUUGUUCACUGAACAAUAGUACUAGCUCCGUUUGUCUAUCUAUCUUUUCCUCUUGUGACUAAUUUUUGGCUUUAAGGGUGCACCUGAUAAUUUUAUUUUUUAUUGGAUAAUGUUUUUGUCAGGUGUUAUUUUGACCUGGGUGUUUUUGUUGUUUUUUUUAAACCUUAUCUUAUCAUGUUUUCAAUAGGUUAUUAUGGUCUUCACCUGUUUAGACUAUCUGUCUUACUGAGCUUGGAAAAUUGAUCUUAGCAUUUAGAGAAACACGAACAUCUGAUUACUUACUGUUUGGGUUUGGUUGAAUUUUGCAAAAUGCUUGCCAAUAAUUAUUGCCAUAAGAGAGUUUUGUGUUAUUUUUGGUUAGCUGGUUCCCUGCAUAUUAAAGAGCCCAGUCACUUAUAUAAAAAAGUCCUCAGAGGGAACAAAAAAACAUGGUUAAACGUGUUGAUAAGGAAGUACUGUUUGCAUUUUUUUAAUCUAAAACUAAAUAUGACCGUGAGUCUGCAGAAACACCACUGCCUAUGCAGUCUCACAUGGCGGACCUUUCGUUUAAAUACACAUUGUGGGGUAUUUCAGAUCUGACCUUGUUUCCCCCCAUGUUGUUGAAAAACAUUUUAAAACAUACUCUGAAAAGCAGGUGGACCUCCACUCCUAGUUGCGUCGCAUUGCACGCGUUCAUACAUCUGUCUCCUCAAACAUUUCGUCACAUCUUUCAUCGCUCCUCAGCUUUUAUCUCAGCCAUUUCAGGGUUUUUAUCUCACGACGAGACCAUACCUGAGUGGCUCAGUGGGAGCUGUCCAGCGCCCCGCGAUCUGGCCCACUCAUACUUGCUGGAUCUCCACUGAGGCACAGUUAAAGGGUGUGGGGGCCCAGCUCAUGGGUGUCUGAGUGAGGGGGGUGCUUGUGUGUGCGUGUGUGGGGGUGAUGAUGACAUCGGUUCCUCCUAGGUUUUUUUUCCACCACAUAUGUAAAGCUGAGGCUGCAAAUUUGUUGGUCUUACAGAGACGUGCAGCACAGCUGAUAAGUUACUUGCAUAAAUACAUAAAAGGAAAAACUAAAAACCUGUUUCACAGGCAGUUCCUGGGGGCCAGUCGACUGUAUUACAUUGCUAAAUGAAUGGUGAAUAAACUUUUGCUGUAAAGCAGCAGAGACUAUUGCAAUCUGUGUGCUUAAAGAAUAUGACACCUGGCGUCCCACUGGCCUUUGUUCAAAGAACAAGAGCAUUUUUGUUUAUAUAUGAGGAUAAGACGGAGAACUGAUGUGUUUUUGAGUAAUAUUAUUUAUAAACUACGAUUGUAUAAUUUAAUCAUCAUCAUUUUCACACACAAACUGUCCAUCUAAAAUAAGUGUUUUUGAGUUUUUUCUAAAUUUUGUUUUUCUCUCUGAGUGUUUGUGUGAGUUUUUCCGCAGGGCGAAUGCUGUUCUCACCGGGGGUUCUCCAUUUCCACCUGGAACCAGCUGUGUGCCACCUCGUGCUAACCUUUCCAACGGGCGUUUCCUGGGGGUCCUUUUGGGGGGGCGGCAUCCCUCCCACAUCAUCACGUUCCACCUUUGAGCAGGCCGUGUGCGGCUGCUCUCUCUGGGCGAGAUUUCUAAAACGCUACACCUCUGGCCUUGUGUUUUGGUGUGGUUUCUGAUCACACACCCUCUGCCUUAAUGAAAUAAAGAGAACAGGACUGUUUUUUACACCCAGGCUAAAUUAGCUGGGUGAGAGUGCUUUUCACCACACUGUUUGCAUUUUUUCCGCCAACAUGAAACAUUCAGUAUAAACCCCCCCUAUCUGAAAUACUGGACUAACUUUGUGUUUUUCUGACUGGCUUAUUAUUAUGUAUUUUAAACGUUUCACUGUUUUGCCUGCAAUGCAAUUAUGUCUGUGCAAUGUUUGGAAUUUCCUGGUUUUUCUCAGGGAUUGUUUUGAUGCCCUGGGUAGCUGGGUUGGUAUUUAGCUCCCCCUCCUGGGCGGUAUCAGGGUUACCCCUGGUCCAUUUCUGAAGCCCAUCUCAUAACAUAAUUUUAAAACAUUAGACACUUCUGGAUGUUUGGGUUUUUGUGUUUUUUUUUAAUUUUAUGGAUUGUUUUAUUUGGUUUGUGAUUUUAUAGUGUUUUGUCCUUCUGUGCAGCUUCCUGGUAAAGUUUAGGUGAUUGUCGGCUGAGUCUCAGGGAGGCUCCUCCCACGACAGUCACAUUUUUGUUUGUUUGUUCCUUUCUGCGUUUGUGGUAAGCUGGGGAGGGGGUAUUCUGCUACCUCGAGCCUGGUACGCUACAAAAACAUAUUUGAGGGAGAAUUCACCUGUCUGGGUUGUUUGAGGUCCAGGAGCUGAGAUGUGCUGUCUAACAACAUCUUUGUCAUCACAGAAGGACUAGAUCUAGGCUUACGUUGGUUUUAGCUUAGGUGUAACAAGAAGAGGGGGGUGCUAUUUCUUUUAGUUUAAUUUAUUUAGACUUUAGAUUUAGCUUUUGUUUGUUAUUUUGGUUAAACUUUUGUUUUUUCUCUUUUUCUUGCACAAUCCAGCUCAUGCCAGUAAUCCAUACAUUUUGAGUUCACGCCUUAUGGGAUCUGUGGUUUUUGACAAAACUGAUUUUGAAACUUUCAUUUUUUUUUUCUUUUUUUACCUGCUUACUUUUCUGGGGUUGCAGAGUUUACCUUAUGUAUGCUCUGGUACAGGGGUGCCCAAACAUUUUUUCCUGAGAGGGCCAAAA
This is a long non-coding RNA of Austrofundulus limnaeus, 3350 nucleotides long. RefSeq lists it as uncharacterized. The record is from RefSeq and is a predicted model, not a curated record. NCBI's taxonomy places the organism in Eukaryota, Metazoa, Chordata, Actinopteri, Cyprinodontiformes, Rivulidae. The transcript is spliced from 2 exons.